This is a long non-coding RNA of Cucurbita moschata (crookneck pumpkin), 1156 nucleotides long. RefSeq lists it as uncharacterized. Lineage: Eukaryota; Viridiplantae; Streptophyta; Magnoliopsida; Cucurbitales; Cucurbitaceae. The record is from RefSeq and is a predicted model, not a curated record. The transcript is spliced from 2 exons.
UCUUUUUCUAUACAGAUUUUUGUGUGUUUCAUUCAUGUAUUGGUAGAAUAAAGUGAAAGUAGAUAUCAUUUUGAUGUUUGAAAUUUGAUAAAUGACUCUUUGGUGCUCCUGUAAUCUGGGUCUGUGUCAAUGGAGCUGUUGAGUAGGUUGAUGAGAAUGUCGACUGUAUAUUUAUUUAUUGGCUAGGGUUUCUCUUACCACAUGUGGUUUAUUUUAGUGCCACUACUUGAUUCUAAGGAAAUUCUUGCUUCUUUAUUAGUCGUCUAGGAGCUUAUGGGAGGGGCCCAUCUUUAUUUUCAUAGUUCUUAUACUUCUAUACUUCUAAAAAAAUAUGAUUGUUGCUUCAAAAAUUCUCGUUUUGAAUAAUAUUUUAAGAAGUUUGUCAUGUUGAAGUCAUGGACGAUAAAAAUGAAAUAAAAAGACCAAGGUUAAGUUACAAAUUAAAAUUUUAGAUUUGAGGUUCGUGUAUUUGGGAUUCCUAACUUUUUAAGAAACUAUGAAUUUAAUCCUAAACUUAGAAUUCUAUGAAAUUAGAUACAAAAAUCAAAAGUUUAUGAUUGGUUGUACUAAAAAAGAUUUUAAAUUUUACUUCAGGAACAAAGUAGAUACAAACAUAAAAGAUUCAGCAAUUAAAUUUGUAAUUCAACCAAAGUCCAAAUGAGUACCAAAAAUGAAUCUUCCACAAGUAUUAUACAAAGAAAAAAAGAACUAAAAAUUAGGGAAUAAAAAUAUAUGUUUGAGGUCAAAGUAGGGUUCAAACCUAAUUCUGUCCUUUUUGUUUAAUACUUUCUAUAUAUGGGGAUUGAUUGUCGGUUAUAGCAUGAGCUGCUACUAAUCUUGCUUAAGCUCUGUCCUAACAGCUUGGCUUGUAAGAUGAAGAAGAAAGAAGGGGAUAAACCUUGUGAGCAGUUCUAUAAGCAUACUUGACAGCUUUUAUCAUCAAAACACAGCAUGAUCAAGGAAGCAAGAACAUAGUAAUUUCCAAACAAAACAUGAUUCAAGAACAUAAGUCUAGAAGAGGAAUAGCAAGACAAUCGUUACCAGGGUCGCUCGGCAUAGGUGUUACAAAAUGGCACGUAGUAACGUGUUCACGAUGCUUUGCGACUCCUGGUAUAAAUGAUGAUGUCAAAGCAGUCUAUUCCUGGUUAUGGAAACU